UUGCGUUUUCGUGAUUCGGAGUGCCUCUCACGCGGUUUCUCAAAUGCGUUACCCGGCUUUCGUCUCGAAAUUCGUCACCUAAAGAUUAAUAUCGCGGGUGUUAAUGUGUUGAGCGUGAUAUUAAUUUCCAAUCAUCCAUAUUAUUCACAAAUUUCCAGUGAUCGGACCGUGAGAUUAAAUGAACAUUUUUCAGUGCGUUUUGGUGAUAGGAUCGUGAGAUUCCAUGAAAAUUUUUUAAUGCGUUUUAGUGAUCGGAUCGUGAGAUUCUAUGAACAUUUUUCGGAUCUGGAGUGUUUACAGCUUGGAGUCAUGCAAAUUGGAUAUCUCUGUAAUGGUACGUACUCUGAUUUUAUUUUUUCCACUGCGAGAGGAGUACAUAACUAAAAUUUGCAGCGACGCGAUGUGGAGAGUUUCUUGGAACUCGAACAGUUAUCUUUAAAUCCAGAGAAAAACUAGCGUGGGUGUUAAACGACACGCCAUGAAAAUGGGAGAGGGCGGGCCAGUCGAAGAUGAUACAAAGUAAUCCAAAAGUUCCUAGUACCCUUAUAACCCUUAGAGUUCACGGCCAUUUCCAGAGUGGUCCCCCUAUCGUUUUCGAGGGAGGGGCGAAGGUCGUUUCCUUUGACUUGGAAAUGCCGACAAAAUUUCGAGUCUCUUUCUCAAUUUUUUAAAAGUUACAGGGUGCCUGGUACCGGUGAUGUUGGACUUUUGGAUCACCCCGUAUACACGAGAGUCGCCUCCUGGUACAAGUGUUUUAGUACAGGCCUAAAUUCUACUAUUUAAAAAUACUUUUUAUCUCAUAAUCCGGUUAAAAAAUUUCCCGCAUUUUUGAGCUCCCUGCUUCAGAAUAUUAUGCAUUUAAACGCAGAUGAGUCAUACUGCUAUAUCGAUAGUGAAACUGCCAAAAAGCGUAUGUUUUUGCGAUGUUGCAAAAUAUCCACUCCAUUUUAUUUUCAUCCCGAGGAAAAGCCAACGAUUUUGCUUGCUAUUUUCAUAGAAUAUUCUUCAGUCGAAGGAGAUUGUUUAGCAGAGUAAGAAAUGAACUUUUCGAUUCUAUCAGCGGGGUUUAGCAUUUUUACUGUCAAUAACAUAGUCUUGCGUGAAACCUUAAAUUGCAUUGUCAUGCCCAAUUACCAAAAUAAAACAUGUAACCAACGACUAACUAAUAACACGUAAUUUUUAGUGACUUUACAUAACCGCUUAGUAAAUCGGGUAACUUCCGUAAUGCGGUGUUUACCGUGGAAUAAUCCACUUUUUUAAAUCUCAGCGUAAAUCGCUCGUUUCCUGUAGAACAAAGAAGAAAAGCGCGUAUUUUGUUUUAUUUAAUGAAUCCCUAGCAAAUGUCACAUAUAUUUCGCAAUUUUCAGAUGAAACUUGUGUAAUUUCUCUCCUCACCACACGCGAACAUCAAGCGAGCAACUAUUCAAACUCAGUAGUGGGUAUGUGGUAUCACGCGGAAUCGAAGGAAAAUCAUACCUUUUAACAUAUCUAAAGUUACGGACGUUUCGCUCCCAUCGAUAAACAAAUCGCGUAUCUUCCGCGAUAUUGAGCCUAAAAGUCUAUGAUCUUCACUUUCAGCUGAAAAUGGGCGUAUGUGCCGCGAUAUUGAUGUGAAUACUAAGUAGCCAAUUUCAUUUUAUUUUUGCAAUAAUAGUUGGAAAAUCCAGCAUUUGCCGCGGUACUUGGUUGAUUAUCUCGCGUAAUCUCUAAUGCUUUGUUAAAACGUAGGAAAAUUCGCGUAUCUGCUGCGAUACCGAGUUAUAAAGUGAGUUAUUUCUUUUGAUUGAACGAAUAUGCGCAGCAAAUGUCUCGUAUUUCGAGUUUUGAGAUGGAACUGGCGCGGUGUAAUUUCUCACCUCACCACACGUGCGUGGACAUCAAGCAAGCAACUGUUCAACC
Molecule: long non-coding RNA, 1899 nt
Filed under: Bemisia tabaci
Lineage: Eukaryota; Metazoa; Arthropoda; Insecta; Hemiptera; Aleyrodidae
Description: lncRNA ENSSSA1NGG009319
Source: RNAcentral